CGAACCUGCCUUGGAUGGGGAAUAACAGCUGGAAACAGCUGCUAAUACCGCAUAAUAUGUCUGAACCGCAUGGCUCUGGACAUCAAAGAUUUAUCGCUCUGAGAUGGACUCGCGUCUGAUUAGCUAGUUGGUGGGGCAACGGCCCACCAAGGCGACGAUCAGUAGCCGGACUGAGAGGUUGGCCGGCCACAUUGGGACUGAGACACGGCCCAGACUCCUACGGGAGGCAGCAG
This 233-nucleotide ribosomal RNA is filed under the name uncultured bacterium. RNAcentral's name for it is "partial 16S ribosomal RNA". It matches the Rfam family "Bacterial small subunit ribosomal RNA", at positions 120 to 354 of the family's 1533-position model. The record is from RNAcentral.